This 903-nucleotide ribosomal RNA is filed under the name Cordyceps militaris. RNAcentral's name for it is "partial large subunit ribosomal RNA". It matches the Rfam family "Eukaryotic large subunit ribosomal RNA", at positions 52 to 980 of the family's 3401-position model. Lineage: Eukaryota; Fungi; Ascomycota; Sordariomycetes; Hypocreales; Cordycipitaceae. The record is from RNAcentral.
GGGGGAGGAGGUAUCCACAGGGACAUUGCCCCAGUAACGGCGAGUGAAGCGGCAACAGCUCAAAUUUGAAAUCUGGCCCCCGGGUCCGAGUUGUAAUUUGUAGAGGAUGCUUUUGGCGAGGUGCCUUCCGAGUUCCCUGGAACGGGACGCCAUAGAGGGUGAGAGCCCCGUCUGGUCGGACACCGAGCCUCUGUAAAGCUCCUUCGACGAGUCGAGUAGUUUGGGAAUGCUGCUCAAAAUGGGAGGUAUAUGUCUUCUAAAGCUAAAUAUUGGCCAGAGACCGAUAGCGCACAAGUAGAGUGAUCGAAAGAUGAAAAGCACUUUGAAAAGAGGGUUAAAAAGUACGUGAAAUUGUUGAAAGGGAAGCGCCUAUGACCAGACUUGGGCCCGGUGAAUCACCCAGCGUUCUCGCUGGUGCACUUCGCCGGGCACAGGCCAGCAUCAGUUUGGCGCGGGGGAGAAAGGCUUCGGGAAUGUGGCUCCCCCGGGAGUGUUAUAGCCCGUUGCGCAAUACCCUGCGCUGGACUGAGGUACGCGCAUUCGCAAGGAUGCUGGCGUAAUGGUCAUCAGCGACCCGUCUUGAAACACGGACCAAGGAGUCGUCUUCGUAUGCGAGUGUUCGGGUGUCAAACCCCUACGCGUAAUGAAAGUGAACGCAGGUGAGAGCUUCGGCGCAUCAUCGACCGAUCCUGAUGUUCUCGGAUGGAUUUGAGUAAGAGCAUACGGGGCCGGACCCGAAAGAAGGUGAACUAUGCCUGUAUAGGGUGAAGCCAGAGGAAACUCUGGUGGAGGCUCGCAGCGGUUCUGACGUGCGAAUCGAUCGUCAAAUAUGGGCAUGGGGGCGAAAGACUAAUCGAACCUUCUAGUAGCUGGUUUCCGCGAGUUCUCUCUCUCUUAAAGAAA